This is a non-coding RNA of Pantherophis guttatus, 765 nucleotides long. The record is from RefSeq and is a predicted model, not a curated record. Lineage: Eukaryota; Metazoa; Chordata; Lepidosauria; Squamata; Colubridae.
UUUAUCUGAGAUGGCCAAGUCCCUUGGGUAGGGACUUGGACUAAAAGUCGCUUCCUCCCUAGGAUGCCAUGAUUCCCUCUGUGCUUUGUGCCACAAUGAUGGGGCUUCUCUGUUGUUCGUGAACAGACAACUUCCCACAGGAAACCCAGAGGCCGAAGGCUACCGAGGGAGUCAGCCACCGGCCACUCCUAGAUCCAGCUGAGCUGCCAUCCUUGGGUAGGUAUAAAAAAUGGCUAUUGUUUACCUGGUUGCCGAGGGAACGAGUUGCCCUGAAAAACCAGUAGCCACUGCACAGCUGCUCAUUCUCCCUUCGUGCAGUGAUAGGACGAGCACCUAGUUGGUCAUGGCUGUGAGAAGGCUUUUCAGGGUAAGUGUGGCCAUCUCAGCUGCCAAGAAACUGGCAGCGGGGGAGCAAAUCAACUCUUCUGACUGACAUGUGUCUAUUUCUCUUCUCUUAACAGAACAUCUGGAAAAGGUGUUCGCACCUUUUCUGUUGCCUGAAGAGCAACAUUGAAGACCUUCCUGUGCCUCCUGACAGCACCGAAGAGGCACAGGAACCGGAUGACCAGCAGGGAGAAUGGGAGACACAUCAUGUGUCUGAUGGAGACGUCUCUUCCUUGCCUGGGGUUGUGAUGGGUGGUCCUGCUACCGCCCGGAGUCCCAGGAAGGAAGAUGUCCGGCCAGCUCUCAUUUCCAGGAGAAAUGAGAGGAUGCCGAAGUGGACACCGCGGCUGACUACAAUUUGGGAGACCUGCACUGAGUCGG